AAAUAAUGUAUCUUUAGAAAUCAACUCCUUUUUGGGGUUAAAACGGGGGAUGGUAGGUUGACUCCCUCAUCACAAAAUCUCCGAAACUAAAACAGCUAUAAACUUGAAAUUUGGUAGGUAGAUUUCCUAUAGGGCGUAAACAUCCGCUAAGAGCUGAUUUUACGAAACCCGCGACCCUUAAGGGGAUAAAACGGGGGUUGGAAGUUUGUAUGAAAGUCCUAUGUUUUUGAAGAACGAGACUUGAAAUUUAAAAUGUAUGCUCUAUAGAUGGUAGAAAGGUGACCAAAU
Molecule: unclassified non-coding RNA, 288 nt
Filed under: Melitaea cinxia (Glanville fritillary)
Lineage: Eukaryota; Metazoa; Arthropoda; Insecta; Lepidoptera; Nymphalidae
Description: misc RNA ENSMCXG00005009960.1
Source: RNAcentral